CCUACGGGUGGCUGCAGUGGGGAAUAUUGGACAAUGGGGGGAACCCUGAUCCAGCCAUGCCGCGUGUGUGAAGAAGGCCCUCGGGUUGUAAAGCACUUUCAGUGAGGAAGAACGCCUGGUGGUUAAUACCCAUCAGGAAAGACAUCACUCACAGAAGAAGCACCGGCUAACUCCGUGCCAGCAGCCGCGGUAAUACGGAGGGUGCGAGCGUUAAUCGGAAUUACUGGGCGUAAAGCGCGCGUAGGUGGCUUGAUAAGCCGGUUGGGAAAGCCCCGGGCUCAACCUGGGAACGGCAUCCGGAACUGUCAAGCUAGAGUGCAGGAGAGGAAGGUAGAAUUCCCGGUGUAGCGGUGAAAUGCGUAGAGAUCGGGAGGAAUACCAGUGGCGAAGGCGGCCUUCUGGACUGACACUGACACUGAGGUGCGAAAGCGUGGGUAGCAAACAGGAUUAGAUACCCCAGUAGUC
Molecule: ribosomal RNA, 465 nt
Filed under: Vreelandella stevensii
Lineage: Bacteria; Pseudomonadati; Pseudomonadota; Gammaproteobacteria; Oceanospirillales; Halomonadaceae
Description: partial 16S ribosomal RNA
Rfam family: Bacterial small subunit ribosomal RNA
Source: RNAcentral